This 1139-nucleotide ribosomal RNA is filed under the name Escherichia coli. RNAcentral describes it as "partial 23S ribosomal RNA". It matches the Rfam family "Bacterial large subunit ribosomal RNA", at positions 14 to 1194 of the family's 2925-position model. Lineage: Bacteria; Pseudomonadati; Pseudomonadota; Gammaproteobacteria; Enterobacterales; Enterobacteriaceae. The record is from RNAcentral.
AGCGUACACGGUGGAUGCCCUGGCAGUCAGAGGCGAUGAAGGACGUGCUAAUCUGCGAUAAGCGUCGGUAAGGUGAUAUGAACCGUUAUAACCGGCGAUUUCCGAAUGGGGAAACCCAGUGUGUUUCGACACACUAUCAUUAACUGAAUCCAUAGGUUAAUGAGGCGAACCGGGGGAACUGAAACAUCUAAGUACCCUGAGGAAAAGAAAUCAACCGAGAUUCCCCCAGUAGCGGCGAGCGAACGGGGAGCAGCCCAGAGCCUGAAUCAGUAUGUGUGUUAGUGGAAGCGUCUGGAAAGGCGCGCGAUACAGGGUGACAGCCCCGUACACAAAAAUGCACAUGCUGUGAGCUCGAUGAGUAGGGCGGGACACGUGGUAUCCUGUCUGAAUAUGGGGGGACCAUCCUCCAAGGCUAAAUACUCCUGACUGACCGAUAGUGAACCAGUACCGUGAGGGAAAGGCGAAAAGAACCCCGGCGAGGGGAGUGAAAAAGAACCUGAAACCGUGUACGUACAAGCAGUGGGAGCACGCUUAGGCGUGUGACUGCGUACCUUUUGUAUAAUGGGUCAGCGACUUAUAUUCUGUAGCAAGGUUAACCGAAUAGGGGAGCCGAAGGGAAACCGAGUCUUAACUGGGCGUUAAGUUGCAGGGUAUAGACCCGAAACCCGGUGAUCUAGCCAUGGGCAGGUUGAAGGUUGGGUAACACUAACUGGAGGACCGAACCGACUAAUGUUGAAAAAUUAGCGGAUGACUUGUGGCUGGGGGUGAAAGGCCAAUCAAACCGGGAGAUAGCUGGUUCUCCCCGAAAGCUAUUUAGGUAGCGCCUCGUGAAUUCAUCUCCGGGGGUAGAGCACUGUUUCGGCAAGGGGGUCAUCCCGACUUACCAACCCGAUGCAAACUGCGAAUACCGGAGAAUGUUAUCACGGGAGACACACGGCGGGUGCUAACGUCCGUCGUGAAGAGGGAAACAACCCAGACCGCCAGCUAAGGUCCCAAAGUCAUGGUUAAGUGGGAAACGAUGUGGGAAGGCCCAGACAGCCAGGAUGUUGGCUUAGAAGCAGCCAUCAUUUAAAGAAAGCGUAAUAGCUCACUGGUCGAGUCGGCCUGCGCGGAAGAUGUAACGGGGCUAAACCAUGCAC